AAACCCUCUGCCUAAUUUGGAAUCCAGGACGUCUGGAAAUCGUCGCCGCCCUCCGCCUCAUCUCCACCGGCGGCGCUGCCCAUCUCCGUCGCCGAAAUUCCCAACCGCUUCAAAUUUUCACCAAAUGAUCCCCAUUCUCCAGUCAUCCCUAAUCUAUCAUCAUCUUCCCCAAAAGCCCCGCCAAACUCGCCAAAUGAACCUCUCCUAAUGAGCGCCAUCAUUUCUUGAUAGUUUGGGAAUAUUGCGGAGCGGCCGAAAUCUGGUCAAAAUCCAUUUGACGGGCCAGUUUUCAUUCAAAACCUUCACACCUUCACGAUUUCUGAUCAAUGAAGCAUUUAUCUAAUUUAAUAUUUUUGAUUGAAUACUCAUAGAUCAGAAGUCUUUGGUAUGAAGGUACAAGUCUAUCGGGGUUCUCAAUCUAGUUUGUCCAAAAUUAGUUACUUUGUUCUGGUUAGUCUUAGUUUGCCCGCAUAAUAACUUAUUGAUUAAUGCUUAGGAUAAGUACUUAAUCCAAUAUUUGCAUGAUUAAUUAAUUACUUGCUUUGAUUAAUUAAGGUUUCGAUUGCACUUGAGUUUGUUUGUUUGCUUUGAAUAAUUAGACUACGGUUUGGUUUUGGUAUAAGAUAUGGGCAUGCUAGCCAAAGACCCAAGCAACCUCUAGUAGUCAAAUGCAAUUUACAAGAACUUAGAGGGUUUAAGUGGAGAGUUCAAUUGGAGAAAAUAAUUGUGUAACCGCGUUUGAAGCUUCUAGAAGGUAAAAAAAGAGACUUAUCAGCCAAUUAAAAGAUAAAACAGGUCUGAAUUUGAAGGGGCAAAGAAAUAAAAACAGAAAGUAAGAGGAGCUAAAAGAAAAGGAAAUAAUAGAACAACUAUACAAAAUCUGUUAUAAAAGAUGCCUUCACCUCACACAUUCACAGAGAUUCACCCAUUUCUACUCCUCUCACACUCACGCAUCUGCACACACACUUUCCCUCAGUUAAAGCCAACUUUCAAAAAUUCAACAAUAUUAGAAACUAUAUCUAGAAAACCAAAAAAAAAAAAAAGAGUAAAGUUCUGGAAAAAUAAGACAAAGGAAGAACAAUAGAGUUUUGUAGAUUACUUUGGAUUCAAAUAAUUCAAAGCCAAAACUGUAGUUGCUUGCUGUUGGUUUGAAGUGAUCUUCCCCCAGUUUUCCUGGGUUUCGAGCUUUUAUUCAUCUGAUUUGAGACUGUUUCUGCUGUUUCAUCACUGCUGAAUUUCAUCUUCUCAAUUUUUCUGUUGCUCUCCUUGCUACUAUGUAUGUUCUGCUCGUUUGUAAUUAGUUUAUUGGACUUGUAAAUGGAAAUGUUGAAUUGUUCAUAUCGAGUCUAUGCUUAACCUCAUGAUUUCAGCCAUGUAUCAUCAUAAAAUCUCCUUUUAUUUGUUUUUGUUUGCCCACAACUGAUCCUGUUUGCUAUGCUUUGAGUUAAAACUAAGUUGGAGCUAUGUAUUGAUUAAUAUGAAUGCUACUAAACAGUAAAUCUGAAAUCUGAUUUAUUCAAUUAAGUUAAUGCUUGAUCUAUUAGAUUUAGCAUGUUUAGUCUUAAAAUCUAUUUGAAUUUCUUUCUCUUGAUUAAUGUUGAUGCCAUGAACGUGUUUUGGUUAUUUGUUCAAACUGUUCAGUAGCAUUUGAGUAAGUUAACACCUGUUGUUGACAGUAAUUCAUCUCCUAAAACUAUGAUUCGCACUUGAAUUGAUCUCACAUGUUUAAGCUAAUUCUAAUUAUUGUUUAUCUAUUAAUUAAUGCUAAUUGCUUCCCUGUAAAUCGAAGAUCUGUUUGAAAAGUUGAACGCAUGCGAUUCAGUGAAAACCAUUUUCACGAAAGCUAUUGGAAAUGGA
Molecule: long non-coding RNA, 1857 nt
Filed under: Nicotiana tabacum (common tobacco)
Lineage: Eukaryota; Viridiplantae; Streptophyta; Magnoliopsida; Solanales; Solanaceae
Description: long non-coding RNA (NTAB_LNC009577)
Source: RNAcentral